GAGGCGGCGAACCUCCGGAAGUGACAGUAACAGAGACUGCGCAGGGGGCCUGAGCGGGAGAGUCCUGGCGAGGGCGCUGGCCGAGAGGUGCUCGGCUUGUAGCAGGUCCCGCACUCCAGCCUCUCGCUGCCAGGGUUUGCUCUCUGCUUGUCCUGGGCUGAGGUGCCCAUGACGGAGUCAUCCAAGGAGGAAAAAAUCUGUUCCGGGUGAGCCCAGGCCGCCCCGGAUAUGCGAUGGCUGAGGAGCAGACACCAGGGACCACACUGAGGUUGGGUUUCAGACCAAGAUACUGGAUUCUCCUAGUUAAGAUAAAGAGCUUUGGGUGCCUGACAGUGAAAAUGGUGUAAUCUGCGUUAACAGUUCACAGCUUGAAGGCAUGACAGUUAAAGAACACACAUGGACUUGUGGCACAUGGAAAUGUGCGCACAGAAAAAGGAAAUCUAUAAUUCUUUAAAAGUAGGAAGGCAUUCUUCCUUGCCAAAAUGGGUACAUUCUGUUCGGUUAUCAAGUUUGAAAAUCUACAAGAAUUAAAGAGACUGUGUCACUGGGGUCCCAUCAUAGCCCUUGGUGUUAUAGCAAUAUGUUCUACAAUGGCCAUGAUUGACUCUGUGUUGUGGUAUUGGCCCUUACAUACAACUGGAGGAAGUGUGAAUUUCAUCAUGUUGAUAAAUUGGACUGUCAUGAUUCUUUAUAAUUACUUCAAUGCCAUGUUUGUCGGUCCGGGCUUUGUCCCUCUGGGGUGGAAACCGGAGAUUUCUCAGGAUACCAUGUAUCUCCAGUAUUGUAAAGUCUGCCAAGCAUACAAGGCACCACGUUCACAUCACUGCAGAAAGUGUAACAGAUGUGUGAUGAAGAUGGACCAUCACUGUCCUUGGAUCAACAACUGUUGUGGUUACCAAAAUCAUGCUUCGUUCACACUGUUUCUCCUUUUAGCACCACUGGGUUGUAUCCAUGCUGCUUUCAUUUUUGUGAUGACUAUGUACACACAGCUUUAUCAUCGGCUCUCCUUUGGGUGGAACACAGUGAAGAUCGACAUGAGUGCAGCCCGGAGAGAUCCUCUUCCAAUUGUUCCAUUUGGAUUAGCUGCAUUUGCUACCACCUUGUUUGCCUUGGGAUUAGCUUUAGGAACAACCAUAGCUGUUGGGAUGUUGUUUUUUAUCCAGAUGAAAAUAAUUCUCAGAAACAAAACUUCUAUUGAGUCAUGGAUUGAAGAGAAGGCUAAAGAUCGAAUUCAGUAUUAUCAACUAGAUGAAGUCUUUGUUUUUCCAUAUGAUAUGGGAAGUAGAUGGAGGAACUUUAAACAGGUAUUUACGUGGUCAGGGGUCCCUGAAGGAGAUGGACUUGAGUGGCCAGUAAGAGAAGGCUGUCACCAAUACAGCUUAACAGUGAGUAUUUUUGUUCAAAUAGCCCUUCCUUUUUGCCUCACCUUCUUUCCCUUAACUCCCCCUCAAGUGACAUUUUGUAGUAAAAUAAGUAAUAUGAAUGUUCUCACUAUGUCAAAAUGCAUCUAAUAAUUCUAAAGCACUCCUUGUAUCAUGUCUCUCCCUUUAUUUCAAUAUCUCCUUAACUCUCUAUACCUGUGAGAUAAAGUCCUGAUCCCUUAACAUAGUUUUAUGAAAUCUGGCCAAAAAUUACCUUCCAACUUACAGUAGCAUAUGAAUUCCUUAUACAUUCCUGUCACCCAACUUUGCCCACAAUUUUUUCCAUCUUAUAUGACCUCCACUCUAUCUAAAAUUAUUAAGACUCGUUCCAGUCUUACCUCUUCCAUAAAGUCUAACCUACCCCCGUAGACUCAUCUGAAUGUGACAUUUAAUCACAUACUACUCUAUGGUAGCUCAUGAAGUCUCAUAUUUUUAUUUAAUUCUGGUUUCUUAUAUCUGUAACUUCAUAAGAUUCUAGGACAGAGAUCAUGAGUUAUCUUUAUUUCUCCUAUUAUAUCUAAUAUAGUGCUAUUUAAUAGUAGCUAUGUCAAGUUAUAAUGAUGAAUUUUAUUCAUUCAUUCAACUUCAUUUUUAAAUGUUCUUCAUUAUUCAUUUGUAGUUUGUCUGCCAUGUCUCUACAGAAUCAGUGAAUCUCAGUGUUUUCACCUGAGAAGCUUCAUGAGGGCGGAGAAUAUACUCCCUGAUCCCUGGGCCACAAUAGAACAGUUGAAACAAAAAGCAGAUAAGAGAGUCAGAAGUGUUCGCUAUAAAGUAAUAGAAGAUUAUAGUGGUGCCUGCUGCCCUCUGAAUAAAGGAAUCAAAACCUUCUUCACAAGCCCCUGCACCGAAGAGCCUCGAAUACAGCUGCAAAAAGGGGAAUUCAUUUUAGCCACAAGAGGUUUACGAUACUGGUUAUAUGGAGACAAAAUUCUUGAUGAUUCCUUUAUAGAAGGUGUUUCAAGAAUAAGGGGAUGGUUCCCUAGAAAAUGUGUGGAAAAGUGUCCCUGUGAUGCUGAAACAGAUCAAGCCCCAGAGGGGGAGAAGAAAAAUAGAUAGCUGCUGUUAAAACAAAAUUAUCCUUUAAGUCUGCUUAAUUACUUGAAAAUUGUUCAUAUUACUAAAGAAUUAUGCAAUGAGCCUACUCUGGUUAAGAUGUUCUUUUCCUCAAAGGUGCCCUAGUGCCAUGAUUUAAAUAUUUUUAUUACCAUUUUGAAAUGGAGAAGCCAUUCUGCAUAUGCCUUUGAAUUCCUGCCCCUCUUUACCACCUCUUCCUCCCCCUCAAAGGAAAAACAUUUCAUCCAAGUAAGUUAACGGCAUUUUCUGUAGGAUUUUCUUAUGCACUGCACACUCUGGACCUCACCUGCAGAUACAGUUCUCCCCUUGCCAGGAGCAUCUGCAUGUGGUACUUCUCUUUUCCCUCAGUUGAUGUUUCUUAUAUGAUAUUCUAGAUACUAUAGAACUCAAUUUGUCAGAUUCAGUAUAAGCUCAGAUUUUGUUACCUGUCUUUUAAUAAUGCAGAUUUUGUCAAAUCAAAUAAAGAUCAAUGGAUGUUGGGUAUAA
RNA transcript from Pan troglodytes (chimpanzee), 2981 nucleotides. It is a transcript of the gene named zinc finger DHHC-type palmitoyltransferase 6, with no coding region annotated. Lineage: Eukaryota; Metazoa; Chordata; Mammalia; Primates; Hominidae. The record is from RefSeq and is a predicted model, not a curated record. The transcript is spliced from 11 exons.